Molecule: long non-coding RNA, 4812 nt
Filed under: Solanum tuberosum (potato)
Lineage: Eukaryota; Viridiplantae; Streptophyta; Magnoliopsida; Solanales; Solanaceae
Description: long non-coding RNA (STUB_LNC000366)
Source: RNAcentral
GGUUAAGUGUACAGCUAUUGAUUAGUGUUAGUUAGCUGACGAUUAGUUUUUAAUUAACAGUAGAAAGUUAGUUAGAGUUUUGUUAUUCAGUUAGACAGCUAGCUGCUUCUAUAUAAAGCAUUGUAAAACAUCUUUUCAGUUAGACUUGGACAUUCAAGUUUUUGAUCAAUGCAAAAUCUCUUUCUUCUCUGUUAAUCAGAGUUGUUAUGGAGAUUGCAUUGCUUGGACGGAACAAAUUGGGAUUCAUUGAUGGCUCUGUUUUGCGCACUGAUUUUGAAGGAAAUUUGAAGAAAAAUUGGGAUCGAUGCAAUGCAGUGGUCAUCUCUUGGUUAAUCUGUAAUGUUAGUAAGGAGUUACUAUCUGGAAUCUUAUACUCAACCAGUGCUUACCAGGUAUGGCUUGAUCUUAAGGAGCGUUUCGAUAAAAUCAAUGGAUCUAGACUCUAUCAAUUGCAUAGGACCAUUUUCACUCUUACACAGGGAGUCUCAACAGUUUCAACUUAUUUCACCAAAUUGAAAAAUUUGUGGGAUGAAUAUGAUUCUAUUUUACCCCCACCUAGUUGUGAUUGUCAUAAGGCUAAGGAGUAUGUUGAACAGAUGCAGUAUCAGCGUCUGUUACAGUUUCUAAUGGGGUUGAAUGAUAGUUAUUCACAAGCUAGGGGUCAAAUCUUAAUGAUGCACACCUUGCCUAAUGUGAAUCAAGCUUAUGCACUAAUAAUCCAGGAUGAAAGUCAGAAGGGAAUUGCAGGUCACAUUAGUGAAGGGAUGGAGUCCUUAGCUCUUUACACUGCUAGAAACAAUAAGCAGCAGCAGUAUCCCAGGAAGAAUUUUCAGUCUCUGUAUUGUGAUUUCUGCAACAUGAAAGGGCAUGUUAGGGCAGACUGUAACAAACUAAAGAAAUGUGACCAUUGUCAUGCUACUGGGCAUGUCAAAGGGGAUUGCUACCAAUUGAUUGGUUAUCUUGACAAUUUUAAAGGAAAGAAGAAGGUUAAUGCUGUGCUUGGAGGUAUGCAAGAUCACUUAGCAAUGGGAGGAGGUACAAUAUAUUCUCAGUCACAUUGUGUGCAGGAUCAAGUGGAUAGGAAGGCAUACAUGGGCAUAGAAGAACCAAUGCACAAUACCCAGGGCACACAUGAACAAAUACUAUUACAGCUGUUACACAAAUCUUCACCAGAUCAAAUUAAUACUAUGAUUGAUGCCUUGAAGAAAAACAGUUGCAGCAGCAGCAGUGUGAAUAUGACAGGUAAUCCUAGUUUAUGUUUGAAAUGGAUUAUAGACACAGGAGCUACAGAUCAUAUGAUAUGUGAUCACAACUAUUUGUAUGCUGGGAAUAUGGUAAAAAGUACAUGCAAAGUACAGCUACCUACAGGGGAUUUGGCCACAGUUACACAUAUUGGAAGUUUUCAACUAAAUGAGAGUGACCUGAUCAGUGAUGUCUUGUGCAUACCAGAUUUUAAGUUUAACCUCUUAUCUGUGAACAAACUAACAAAAGAAUUAAACUGCUCUGUUUCCUUCUUUCCCACACACUGUGUAUUUCAGGAUCUCUUGUCUGGGAAGGUCAAGGGGAUUGGUAGAGUAGAAGAUGGAUUGUAUGUGAUGCACUGGCCAGUAAAGCUACCAAAUGUGAAGAGCCACACAAUGUCUGCAGUUAAGGAGGGAGUUACAGAUCCAGGUCUUUGGCACAAGAGACUAGGACAUGUUCCUAUGGGAGUACUUAGAAGAAUAAAUGAGUUUAAAACUAGUAGUCGUUUUACUAUUGAUCAUUGUAUUGUUUGUCCACAAGCUAGACAGACUAGGAUUCCAUUUACUCAGAGUAGUACCACAGUAGCUAAUAUCUUUGACUUGGUGCAUAUGGAUGUCUGGGGUCCAUACAAAGUAACUACUCACAAUGGUAUGAGAUACUUUCUCACCCUAGUUGAUGAUAAGUCUAGAUGGACAUUGGACCUUCUUGCUUAGUUUGAAGUCUGAUGUAAUUGUUGUAUUGAAACAUUUUUUGACAAUGAUAAAGAAUCAGUUUGGAAAGUGUGUUAAGGUGUUCAGGUCAGAUAAUGGAGGUGAAUUUUUGAAUUCUAGCUGUUAUGAAUUAUUUGUGUCUCUUGGGAUCAUUCAUCAGAAAUCAUGUCCACACACUCCACAACAAAAUAGAGUUGCAGAAAGGAAGCAUAGACAUUUAUUAGAGAUUGCCAGGGCAAUCAAAUUCCAAAGUUCUUUGCCAAAUAGGGUCUGGGGAGAGUGUAUAGAAGCUGCAACCUACAUUAUCAAUAGGAUCCCUCUAUCUGUUCUGAAAAACAAGUCACCAUAUGAAAUAUUUUAUGGUAAAAAACCUUCAUUGACACCUCAGGGUGAUAGGUUGUCUUGUUUUUGCUACAAACUUGAACAUGAAUGAUAAAUUUGCACCAAAGGCAAGGAAAGCUAUCUUGCUUGGUUAUGCUACUAGCCAAAAGGGAUAUAAACUACUGGAUAUUGAAUCCAAAAUACAUUUUAUCAGCAGAGAUGUCGUAUUUCAUGAGGAUGUGUUCCCCUUUCAUGGCAGGAAUUAAUUCAUGGCGAUUGAGGAUGCAUCUGCAAACUUUAGGUCUUGGACAAGAAAAGGAUCAAGUUGUUUCAUUGUCUUAUUCACAUGUUGAAGAUUGUGACCUUACACCUUGUGUUGUUUUCAGAAAUACAGUAGAUGCCCUUGAAACUGUAACUCAACAAGUAGCUGUAACUGACUCAUUUUGUCAUGGUUCAACCAUUGAAUCUGAAGAUCCGGUACCCUUGGUUUCUUCUCCUGAACCAAGCAUUUUACCAACUCAGUUCCCUGUUGCUGCCAGAAGAUCCAACAGACCUGCAAAGCCCCCACUCUGGCAUACAUAUUACGUUUUAUCAAAGAACAAAGCUGCAGGUUAUUGCUCCUAUCCUAUUACAGAUGUGCUGGACUACCAAAGCAUCACACUUGCCUACAAAAGCUUUGUCACUAAGUUUUCACAAGAGAAGGAACCUGCUUCUUAUCAGGAGGUUAUACAAGAUCCUAAAUGGAUUACAGCUAUGCAAAGUGAAAUACAAGCAUUAGAAGACAAUCAUACAUGGGAGAUUACUACACUGCCUAAGGAUAAGAGGGCAAUAGGUUGUAAAUGGGUGUACAAGAUCAAAUAUAGGGCUGAUGGGGAAGUUGAUAGGUUCAAAGCAAGGUUGGUAGCCAAGGGUUACAAUCAAAAGGAAGGUUUGGACUAUCAGGAAACUUUUUCUCCUGUUGUAAAAUUGGUGACUGUUCGAUCCGUCAUAGCCUUAGCAGCUGCACAACACUGACAGGUACAUCAAAUGGAUGUAUUCAAUGCUUUUCUUCAAGGAGAUCUGACUGAAGAAGUUUACAUGGAAUUGCCUUUGGGGUUUGUCCAUCAAAGUGAGAAGGGGACAGGGACAGUAUGCAAGCUUACAAAGUCACUUUAUGGACUUAAACAGGCCAGCAGACAGUGGAAUAUCAAGUUGACCACAGCCUUAGCUAACUCAGGCUUCCAGCAGAGUCAUUAUGACUAUUCCUUGUUCACAAAACAUCAAGGAGAAAGGAUAGUGAUGGUACUUGUUUAUGUUGAUGACCUAUUGAUCACAGGUAAUGAUCACAAGUUGAUCUUGGAAACUAAGAAGAUUCUUCAAGACAACUUUAAGAUUAAAGAUCUAGGUGAGCUAAGAUACUUCCUAGGGAUUGAAUUUGCUAGAAACAGCAAUGGGAUCCUUAUGCAUCAAAGAAAAUAUUGCCUUGAACUGAUUUCAGAUAUGGGCUAUCUAGUUCAAAGCCUGUAGGUUCUCCUGUUGAGUUGAAUCAGAAACUUACAACUGCAGAAUUUGAUUUACACUUCCCUCCUACUGAUGAGCAGGAUAAGUUGUUGAGUGAGCCUGAAAUUUAUCAGAAAUUGGUUGGUAGAUUGCUCUAUUUGACAAUGACAAGGCCAGACAUUGCAUUUGCAGUGCAACUGCUGAGUCAAUUUAUGCACAGUCCUAAGACAUCCCACAUGAAGGCAGCAUUAAGGGUGGUGAUGUAUGUUAAACAAUCACCAGGCUUAGGGAUACUUAUGGCAUCUACUGCUGACAAUCACCUUACUGCAUAUAGUGAUGCAUAUUGGGCAUCAUGCCCAAACAAUAGGAAGUCCAUAACAGGAUACAUGGUUACAUAUGGGAACUCACUGAUUUCAUGGAAGGCCAAGAAACAGGACACUAUUUCAAGGAGCUCAGCUGAAGCUGAGUAUAGGAGUUUGGCUUCUACAGUUGCAGAGGUUGUGUGGUUGGUUGGUCUCUUUAAAGAAUUGGGGGUUCAAGUGAGGUUGCCAAUACACAUACACAGUGACAGCAAUCAGCUAUACAGAUAGCUGCCAAUCCAGUAUUUCAUGAACGAACUAAACAUAUAGAUAUUGAUUGUCAUUUCAUCAGGGAGAAGGUUCAACUGGGAAUAGUUCAACCAGUGUACUUAAAUACAACAGAGCAACCAGCAGACCUACUUACCAAAGGACUCACCUGUUUGCAGCAUAACUAUCUACUUACCAAGCUAGGAAUGAAGAAUGUUUUUCAUACACCUAGCUUGAGGGAGGAUGUUGAGAAGUUGGUUAAGUGUACAGCUGUUGAUUAGUGUUAGUUAGCUGACGAUUAGUUUUUAAUUAACAGUAGAAAGUUAGUUAGAGUUUUGUUAUUCAGUUAGACAGCUAGCUGCUUCUAUAUAAAGCAUCUUUUCAGUUAGACUUGGACAUUCACGUUUUUUAUCAAUGCAGAAUCUCUUUCUUCUCUGUUAAUCAGAGUUGUUCAGUUCUUCAGUUUAGCUUGUUGAGAGUUACUGAAAUUAACA